GCUUAGCCUUAAACUCAGAUAUUUUAACUACAAGAAAUAUCCGCCAGGUUACUACGAGCGUAAGCUUAAAAACCAAAGGACUUGACGGUGUCUCAGACCCACCUAGAGGAGCCUGUCCUAGAACCGAUAAUCCACGUUAAACCUCACCAUCCCUUGCCAACCCCGCCUAUAUACCGCCGUCGCAAGCUUACCUUGUAAAAGAUUAACAGUAAGCACAAUGGAUUUAUAUCCAGAACGUCAGGUCGAGGUGUAGCUUAUGAGAUGGGAAGAGAUGGGCUACAUUUUCUAAAUCAGAAAAUACGAAUUGAAUUAUGAAACUAAUUCCUGAAGGUGGAUUUAGAAGUAAAAAUAAAGCAGAGGGUUAUUUUGAACCAGGCCCUGAGAUGCGC
This 389-nucleotide ribosomal RNA is filed under the name Hyphessobrycon herbertaxelrodi. RNAcentral's name for it is "partial 12S ribosomal RNA". It matches the Rfam family "Bacterial small subunit ribosomal RNA", at positions 794 to 1384 of the family's 1533-position model. The record is from RNAcentral. Lineage: Eukaryota; Metazoa; Chordata; Actinopteri; Characiformes; Acestrorhamphidae.